CGGGGUGUAGCGCAGUUUGGUAGCGCAUCUGGUUUGGGACCAGAGGGUCGCGGGUUCAAAUCCUGCCACCCCGACCA
Molecule: transfer RNA, 77 nt
Filed under: Maledivibacter halophilus
Lineage: Bacteria; Bacillati; Bacillota; Clostridia; Peptostreptococcales; Caminicellaceae
Also listed under: 15 other names
Description: tRNA_Pro_TGG
Rfam family: tRNA
About the family: Transfer RNA (tRNA) molecules are approximately 80 nucleotides in length.
Source: RNAcentral